AAGACAGCUCUGGCAGGGGAAACAAAGCCAAACACUGCAAACAGCGGCCUAACAACAUGGUCAAACAAACAGGAGGCUCGGGGCUUUAAGUCCCACCACCCACGAACCACCAACUUCCAAACAACCAACCACACCACCCACCGCCCACUUACGCCCCCUCCGCCCGCAAAAAGCCAUCUGCCAUUUACAGGAGCGGGCGAAACCGUGAGCUCUGAGCCGCAACGCGUUAUCUUCGCCCAAGCUUUGCAUAAAUCAACGUAGCAAAAAACGGAAAAUGAACGAAAAGCGCCAGAAAUAUAUUUUCCAAAAACCGAACUCAAGCGUUAAAUUGAACGUGUUUGUAUACCCAGGAAUCGCACAAAUACAAAGGCAUACUGGGCCCAAAUAUAUUCUUCCAAAACUUC
This is a non-coding RNA of Drosophila melanogaster (fruit fly), 404 nucleotides long. The record is from Ensembl. Lineage: Eukaryota; Metazoa; Arthropoda; Insecta; Diptera; Drosophilidae.